RNAcentral lists this ribosomal RNA (685 nucleotides) under Escherichia sp. Its description in RNAcentral is "bacterial SSU rRNA". It matches the Rfam family "Bacterial small subunit ribosomal RNA", at positions 763 to 1448 of the family's 1533-position model. The record is from RNAcentral. Lineage: Bacteria; Pseudomonadati; Pseudomonadota; Gammaproteobacteria; Enterobacterales; Enterobacteriaceae.
GGGGAGCAAACAGGAUUAGAUACCCUGGUAGUCCACGCCGUAAACGAUGUCGACUUGGAGGUUGUGCCCUUGAGGCGUGGCUUCCGGAGCUAACGCGUUAAGUCGACCGCCUGGGGAGUACGGCCGCAAGGUUAAAACUCAAAUGAAUUGACGGGGGCCCGCACAAGCGGUGGAGCAUGUGGUUUAAUUCGAUGCAACGCGAAGAACCUUACCUGGUCUUGACAUCCACGGAAGUUUUCAGAGAUGAGAAUGUGCCUUCGGGAACCGUGAGACAGGUGCUGCAUGGCUGUCGUCAGCUCGUGUUGUGAAAUGUUGGGUUAAGUCCCGCAACGAGCGCAACCCUUAUCCUUUGUUGCCAGCGGUCCGGCCGGGAACUCAAAGGAGACUGCCAGUGAUAAACUGGAGGAAGGUGGGGAUGACGUCAAGUCAUCAUGGCCCUUACGACCAGGGCUACACACGUGCUACAAUGGCGCAUACAAAGAGAAGCGACCUCGCGAGAGCAAGCGGACCUCAUAAAGUGCGUCGUAGUCCGGAUUGGAGUCUGCAACUCGACUCCAUGAAGUCGGAAUCGCUAGUAAUCGUGGAUCAGAAUGCCACGGUGAAUACGUUCCCGGGCCUUGUACACACCGCCCGUCACACCAUGGGAGUGGGUUGCAAAAGAAGUAGGUAGCUUAACCUUCGGGAG